CAGUCGCCGCGGUAAUACGGAGGGAGCUAGCGUUGUUCGGAAUUACUGGGCGUAAAGCGCGCGUAGGCGGUUACUCAAGUCAGAGGUGAAAGCCCGGGGCUCAACCCCGGAACUGCCUUUGAAACUAGGUGACUAGAAUCUUGGAGAGGUCAGUGGAAUUCCGAGUGUAGAGGUGAAAUUCGUAGAUAUUCGGAAGAACACCAGUGGCGAAGGCGACUGACUGGACAAGUAUUGACGCUGAGGUGCGAAAGCGUGGGGAGCAAACAGGAUUAGAUACCCCUGUAGUCCCUGUCUCUUAUAC
RNAcentral lists this ribosomal RNA (301 nucleotides) under uncultured bacterium. Its description in RNAcentral is "partial 16S ribosomal RNA". It matches the Rfam family "Bacterial small subunit ribosomal RNA", at positions 509 to 807 of the family's 1533-position model. The record is from RNAcentral.